Molecule: ribosomal RNA, 195 nt
Filed under: uncultured bacterium
Lineage: Bacteria
Description: partial 16S ribosomal RNA
Rfam family: Bacterial small subunit ribosomal RNA
Source: RNAcentral
UACGGGAGGCGACAGUGGGGAAUUUUGGGCAAUGGCCGAAAGGCUGACCCAGCGACGCCGCGUGCGGGAGGACGCCCUUCGGGGUGUAAACCGCUGUCAGAGGGGACGAAAGGCCGGGGUGGGUAUACUGCCCUGGAGUGACGGUACCCUCAGAGGAAGCACCGGCUAACUCUGUGCCAGCAGCCGCGGUAUCUG